Molecule: transfer RNA, 67 nt
Filed under: Marmota monax (woodchuck)
Lineage: Eukaryota; Metazoa; Chordata; Mammalia; Rodentia; Sciuridae
Description: tRNA.Asn
Source: RNAcentral
GGUUAUGGCUCAGCGGUAGAGCGUUCCUCUAUUGUGUGCGAGGCCCUGGGUUUGAUCCUCAGCACCA